AUCAUCAGUGUGUAAAGCGGGGUGCCUGGCUGCUAGUGUAACGUGCUGUUGUAGCCAUGGAAAAGUGCUCAAACCAAUACAAAUCAAACCAAACACAACCCAAUAUCCCCAAGUCCAAGACUCCUUUGUCUCUAAUAUCUGUUUUUAAAGGAGCGUCUGAACCACAGUGGCAGGUGUAGGCAAUGGACUGCAGAUUGAGGUGAGUCGUAGGCGGAGCUACAAAUCACCCAAAUUGUAACGGGAACCGUCACAGACAUUCAAUGACAACAGUGCAGUUGUUUUAUCAAUAUAAAAAAAGCAUAAAUUAAAUAACCACAUUUAUUAAAACAGAACACUGCUCUUCCAAUGAUGCUGAUAUUCAGUCUUUGACAAGUUAAUGCCCA
Long non-coding RNA from Sinocyclocheilus anshuiensis, 383 nucleotides. RefSeq lists it as uncharacterized. The record is from RefSeq and is a predicted model, not a curated record. Lineage: Eukaryota; Metazoa; Chordata; Actinopteri; Cypriniformes; Cyprinidae. The transcript is spliced from 2 exons.